CUCUCACCAGGCUGCGCGCUGGCGGGUCGGUGCACAGGGACGGGGUCGCCGCCCACGCGCGCUUGGUUCAGGGAGCCCAGGCUGUCCCUACCCGCGGCUACAAAAGCUCGCCGAGUCUUCCUGUCCACCCAAUCGCCCCACAUGUCAGCGGUUGGUCGCCUCGCGGUGCAGUGCUGGGCACGCGAGCCCCUCCCGCAGUCAUUCUCAGCACAAGCACCAGCCUGGAGCCCCGCAGCGACAGAGCUGAGAGCCCCCAAGCCGCAGAGGUCGUGCGGAGCAGGUUGGUCUAAUUGAAGGCAAUGGAGAAGUAAGUCUUUAUGGAUCAAAAUCUUAGCUCUAGAAAAGAUUUGAUUAAGUGAAACAAAGCCCCAGCUGCUGGAGCAGAGGUUCCACUUGGGUUCCACAGACACCCACAGCCCAAAUCCCUGGAGGCCUAAGGCAAUAGCUAAUUGAGACUAUGCAUCACUAUUAAGGCAUCUUCACUAAAGGGCGCUGUGGAAACGCUGCCUGAGAUGCAGACACCUGUCAGAAGGGGGCUAAAUUUCAAACAAGGAACGUGGUGUUGCAUCACAAUAAAGUAGAUUCUAGUAUUACCUUCCUUUUUCAGAAGAGGAGACCAAUGGGGAGCAUUGGAAUGAUUUGGUUGCAAGCAUACUACACUACUUGUAAACUGCAGACACAGGCUUAAAAAAAGUGAAAAACUAACCAUGCAAUAAAGAAUGGAAUGAACCAUGAAGCUGUUUCUGUGGCCAGUCAUGUUUUUGAAGCAUAUCCCAUGCUAAUUUCUAGAACAGAAGAAACACACGUGUUCUUGUGUGUAAACCCAGUCCAUGGAAGAGACCGUCUGCUUGUCCCUCCUGAUCUCUGGGCCCAGACAACCAGUAGUCACCAUUCCAAGUGAGGGGUGGCUGCAACUCUACAGCCCCGUUCGUCUCUCCUCACUGUCAAAGCUGCUGAGACCCCAGACUCGACACUUGAAAGAAACCCAUGUCUGUGAAGCACUUGUGGACCAUUCAAGAUUGUGGAAGAAUCACUCAAGAGAAGGAGAUAGGUGAUGGGAUCUAGCUUCUGAUGGUUUCUAUUUUAUUGAAUGUCUAAUAGGGCAAGAAUUUGAAAAACGAGAAUGUUUGCCAUGCAGGAGGACCUGGGAAGGAGAUAACACAUUUACAGGGAGAAAGAUUGGGAUUCAGUUGGGAGGAGUAACUGAGGAAAGGGGUCACUCAAAAUAUUUUGUAUUUUAGGUCCUUUUUCUAUUAAGGAGGAAUGGAUUAUCAAAGCCUUAACAUUAAAUUGUAUUGUGUCAGGUGAAUUGCUAUGGUUUGAAUGUGGUGUGUCCCCCUCCCAAACUCACAUUGAAUUUUUUUUUUUUUUUUUGAGACGGAGUCUCGCUCUGUUGCCCAGGCUGGAGUGCAGUGGUGCGAUCUUGGCUCACUACAAGCUCUGCCUCCCGGGUUCAAGAGAUUCUCCUGCCUCAGCCUCCCGAGUAGCUGGGAUUACAGAUGUUCGUCACCACACCUGGCUAAUUUUUGUAUUUUUAAUAGAGAUGGGGUUUCACUAUGUUGGCUAGGCUGGUCUCAAACUCCCGACAUCAGGUGAUCCACCCACCUCGGCCUCCCAAAGUGCUGGGAUUAGAGGAGUGAGCCACUGCACCCAGCCUCACGUUGAGGUUUAAUUGCCAUUGUAACAGUAUAAAGAUGUGGGACCUUUACGAGGUGAUUAGGCAAUGAGGACUCUGCCCUCAUGAAUGGAUUAAUGCUGUUAUCAUGGGAGUGGAUUCCUUAUAAAGGGACACGUUCAGCACCCCCUUGCUCUCUCUCUCACCUUCCGCCAUAUGAUGAUGGGGCACAAAGGCCAUCAUCAGAUGUUGGCCCCUUGUUCUCGAACUUCCCAACCUCCAGAGCAGUAAAAAAAUAAAUCACUGUUCUUUACAAAUGGCCCAGUCUCAGAUAUUCUGUUACAGCAGUACAAAAUGAACUAAGUCAUGAAACCUAAGAUUUACAUGAUUUACAGCAGUGGUCCGCAACCUUUUGGGCAGCAGGGGCUGGUUUUGUG
This 2052-nucleotide long non-coding RNA is filed under the name Homo sapiens (human). RNAcentral describes it as "HSALNT0315760". Lineage: Eukaryota; Metazoa; Chordata; Mammalia; Primates; Hominidae. The record is from RNAcentral.